UACGGGGGGGGCAAGCGUUGUUCGGAAUUACUGGGCGUAAAGGGAGCGUAGGUGGCAUUCUAAGUCUGAUGUGAAAGCUCUGAGCUUAACUCAGAAAUGGCAUUAGAUACUAGUUUGCUUGAGGAUUGGAGGGGAGAUUGGAAUACUUGGUGUAGCAGUGAAAUGCGUAGAUAUCAAGUGGAACACCAGUGGCGAAGGCGAAUCUCUGGACAAUUCCUGACACUGAUGCUCGAAAGCUAGGGGAGCAAACGGG
Molecule: ribosomal RNA, 253 nt
Filed under: uncultured bacterium
Lineage: Bacteria
Description: partial 16S ribosomal RNA
Rfam family: Bacterial small subunit ribosomal RNA
Source: RNAcentral